RNAcentral lists this ribosomal RNA (414 nucleotides) under SAR324 cluster bacterium. RNAcentral's name for it is "bacterial SSU rRNA". It matches the Rfam family "Bacterial small subunit ribosomal RNA", at positions 1 to 416 of the family's 1533-position model. The record is from RNAcentral. Lineage: Bacteria; Deltaproteobacteria.
UAACUUGAGAGUUUGAUCCUGGCUCAGGACGAACGCUGGCGGCAUGCCUAAUACAUGCAAGUCGAACGAGAAAGUUCCUUCGGGGACGAUUAAAGUGGCGCACGGGUGAGUAACGCGUAGACAAUCUGCCCUUCAGUCUGGGACAACUUUUCGAAAGGAGAGCUAAUACCGGAUGACAAUAUAACACAUAAGUGUCAUAUUUGAAAGCUCCGGCGCUGAAGGAGGAGUCUGCGUCCCAUUAGCUAGUUGGUAGGGUAAUGGCUUACCAAGGCUACGAUGGGUAGCGGGUUUGAGAGGACGAUCCGCCACACUGGAACUGAGACACGGUCCAGACUCCUACGGGAGGCAGCAGUAGGGAAUAUUGCACAAUGGAGGAAACUCUGAUGCAGCAAUGUCGCGUGAGUGAAGAAGGCC